UGAGGAAUAUUGAGCAAUGGGCGCAAGCCUGACUCAGCAACGCCGCGUGGGCGAUGAAGGCCUUCGGGUCGUAAAGCCCUUUUCUGAGGGACGAGAAAGGACGGUACCUCAGGAAUAAGUCACGGCUAACUACGUGCCAGCAGCCGCGGUAAUACGUAGGUGGCCAGCGUUAUCCGGAAUCAUUGGGCGUAAAGCGCGUGUAGGUGGUUUCGUUAGUCGGACGUGAAAUCUCCUGGCUUAACUGGGAGGGGCCGUUCGAUACUGCGGAGCUUGAGGUCGGGAGAGGGACGUGGAAUUCCCGGUGUAGUGGUGGAAUGCGUAGAUAUCGGGAGGAACACCAGUGGCGAAGGCGGCGUCCUGGCCCGCACCUGACACUCAGACGCGAAAGCGUGGGGAGCGAACGGG
Molecule: ribosomal RNA, 405 nt
Filed under: uncultured Chloroflexota bacterium
Lineage: Bacteria; Bacillati; Chloroflexota
Description: bacterial SSU rRNA
Rfam family: Bacterial small subunit ribosomal RNA
Source: RNAcentral